GAAGAGGAAUAAGCUCCCAAGUGCCACUCGCAUGUAAAGCAGACAUCUCGUCAAUCAUAGCAUGUCACCAUCCUAGAUGAGAUAGUGCCUCACCUGUAGACAUAGGGAUAGAAACAGUGGACAAAGAAGAUAUAAAAGCAUAAUGAGGUGACGACAGGCGAUGAUAACUUAAACCGACAUAGUGGGGAUUAAGAUUAAGUGUGGAUUGUACACCUUUGCGGAGUGCAAUUGGUUAACUAAGAGGAGACAAGUCCGCAGUAGGUGCAGAAUCUGAUGUGGGGCGUGAAUCACCUGGGCAUGAUGCUGGAUGUGGACGACGAUGAUAAGUCAAGAGUGGUGGAGCUGCAGAAGGUUGAACUGGAUUAUGUAGAGGAACUGGAGCUAUAGGUGGUGGAGCUACAACUCGAGCUGUAGGUGGUGGGACUGGAGCUAUAGGUGGUGGAGCUACAACUGGAGUUGUAGGUGGUGGAGCUGGAGUGACUGAAUCUCCAAAAAGAUGAAACUGGUAGUACCUCAGAAAUAUCUAAGUGAUGACCUGAACCUGUGAAGUAUGAUUGGGUUUCCAAGAAGGUAACAUCAGCGGACAUAAGGUACCGCUGGAGGUCAGGAGAGUAGCAUCGAUACCCCUUUUGUGUUCUUGAAAAAUCCAAAAAUACGCACUUAAGAGUACGAGGAGCUAACUUAUCUGUUCCUGGAGUAAGGUUAUGGACAAAACAAGUGCUUCCAAAGAUACAGGGUGGAAGAGAGAACAAAGGUAAGUGGGGAAACAUGACAGAGAAUGGAACUUGGUUCUGGAUAGCUGAAGAUGGCAUACGAUUAAUAAGAUAGCAAGAUGUAAGAACUGCAUCCCCCCAAAAACGCAACGGAGCAUGAGAUUGUAUGAGUAGGGUACGAGCAGUUUCAAUAAGAUGUCUAUUCUUUCUUUUAGCUACCCCAUUUUGUUGAGAUGUCUACGGACAAGAUGUUUGAUGAAUAAUCCCAUGAGAUUUCAUAAACUGCUGAAAUGGGGAAGACAAAUACUCUCAGGCAUUAUCACUACGAAAUGUGCGAAUAGAAACCCCAAAUUGAUUUUGAAUUUCAGCGUGGAACGUCUGAAAAAUAGAAAACAGCUCAGAUCGAUUUUUUAUCAAAAAUAUCCAAGUGCACCUGGAAUAAUCAUCAAUGAAACUGACAAAGUAGCGGAAUCCCAAGGUGGAACUGACCCGACUAGGACCCCAAACAUCUGAAUGGAUUAAAGUAAAAGGUGACUCUGCUCGAUUAUCAAGACACCGGGGGAAAUGGGAGCGAGUAUGCUUACCGAACUGACAUGACUCACACUUUAGAGCUGACAAGUGAGAUAAACCAGAUACCAUUUUCUGAAGUUUUGACAAACUAGGAUGUCCCAACCGUUUAUGUAAUAAAUAUGGUGAAUCAGUAACAGGACAAGUUGUAGAAGGAAGACAAGAUGUGAGUCUAUGUGAUUUAGCAAGGAUAAGGUAAUAAAGUCCGUUUGAUUCACGCCCGGUACCAAUGAUCCGCCCUGUACUGCGUUCCUGUAUAAAAACAUGGUCAUCAAGAAAUAAAACA
RNAcentral lists this long non-coding RNA (1566 nucleotides) under Nicotiana tabacum (common tobacco). RNAcentral's name for it is "long non-coding RNA (NTAB_LNC017386)". Lineage: Eukaryota; Viridiplantae; Streptophyta; Magnoliopsida; Solanales; Solanaceae. The record is from RNAcentral.